This 2037-nucleotide long non-coding RNA is filed under the name Homo sapiens (human). Its description in RNAcentral is "HSALNT0292193". Lineage: Eukaryota; Metazoa; Chordata; Mammalia; Primates; Hominidae. The record is from RNAcentral.
CUUCAUUUGCAUCUGCAAAACACAAACAUUUGCAGAAUGAUGCUCUAUCACUGUGUGUCCAAGCCCCUACUGGCCUCAAGUGAUCCUCCUGACAGCUCCCUGUGGUGUGAAAAGGAGCUAUCAUCUACACUUGCUGCAGCGAACACUGGACAGUGAUAUUAAAACCUAGAGCAUGAGGAAGCCAGUGAGGAGAAGCUGGUGAGAGGCUCUGCCCUCAGAUGAGAGGAACUGGAAUUCACACAUGCUCCAUCUGCCUCUGCAAACUUCGGAUGACUCAGUGUCUACCCAGCGCCUGGUCAUCGGCAUUCCUGCCAAGUGGAUCUCAGGACAAAGAAAGGACAUGACUGCCUGAAGAGGGCCCAGACAUGCAGUGGGGCAGGUGCUGGCAUCUGAGAAAGUCCUAGGAGAGAACCUCCUCCAGUGUGUGAAGAGCUUCCCAAGCACCAGGUCCACUGACUGUGGCGUCAAAGACAGUGAAAAGCUGGCCUUGGGGUGAUGCCAUCCAGGAAGGCAUGCCAGAUCAGAUGCCCAGCAACUAUCAUCUUCUCUGCUUGGGCCCUACUGCUGUGGUUCAAGAAGGAACUACCUGAGCAACUGACACUUCUGCCAGCCACCAGUCCCUGUCACUGUGCAUCUUUGCCAAGCUAAUGUGCUCCCUGGAGGAUGGGACCAGCACAGAGUCAGGUAGGGCCUGGGGCUGGGUGUGUGACCUGUGUGUAGUGAUGGAGACUAAUUCAAAGCAGGGUGGGAGUGAGACAGAAGUGUGGUACAAAUAGCAUGGAGAAUGGGCUCAAGGUGCAGGAAGGGGCAAGGAUGAAAGCUGAGUUACAGGCCAGCUCUGCCACUGACAAGCUGUGAUUUCCCUCACCCCAAAAUGACAGUAAUGACACUUCACCUCCCUGAAGGCAGGAGCCAGGUUAAAGGGGCAUGUUGGAGUGAUCUUAAAUGACAGCUGUGACUGUGACAGGAACCCCCUGUGUUUAUGAUUUGAGAUUUUAUGUAACUGCACUUGAAAUAUUCAUGUGUGUGGAUUUUGUAUAUGCAUGGGUAGUUGCAUGUUGUCUCCAGUGCAUGUACAUAAUCUGUGUCAUGUAUUACAUGUGUUCUAUAUGGGGGCAAGAACAGGUUACACGUUAUAUGUGAUAUACUAAUGUAUGAGUUACAUAUUGUACAGUUUGGGUGUUACAGUUUUUGGGUUUAUGGGCUACAUGUCAGUAUUAUGGCUGCUGUAUUGUUAUAAUUUAUCUGUUGUAUAUUGUAUUUAACUUGCAUAUGAACUCCAGACUCAUAUAUCCAGCUGCCUUCUCAAUAUCUCUACUUGGAUACCUAACCAGUUUUCUUAAACAUAACAUGUCCAAAACAGCCUAAGAUUCCUCCAAACCUGCUUCCCUCACCAUCUUUCCCAAGCCCAUACGUAGCAAUCUUAUUUUUUCAGUUGCUGUAACUUUUUUUUCCACAUUCCACAUUCAAUUCAUAAGCAAAUCCUGUUGGCUGGCCUUUGCACUAUAUCUGCAGUCUGUCCACUUUUCAUUAUUCCCACAGUAAUAAUGUGGGAAUAAGGGUUCAGCCACCAUCACCUCGCUUCUGGAUUAUUGCAAUGACCUCUUAAGUGGUUUCCCUGCCUUCUCCCUUGUCCUCUACAGUCUGUUCUCAAUACUGCAGUCAGAAUAAAAUGUCACACCAUGUCCCUUCCCUACUCAGAGCCCUCAAUGGUUUCCCCCCAGUUAGAGUGAAAUCCAGAGCUGGCUCUUACAAUGGUCUAGAAGGCCCUUUGGGCUGCCCCAAGCCACCUCUCUGGCUUCAUCUCUUCCUAGUUUCCUUGCUCCAACUGUACCAGCUUCCUUGCUAUUCCUUGAACAUACUAGGCAUGCUCCUGCAUUAGGGCUUUUGCGGUUUCUGUCUCUUCAGCCUGAAAUGCUUGUUCCUAUAGAUAAUUGCAUGGUAGCUUACUGUCUCACCUCCCUCACUCCCUUUUUAUUUAUUAUUAUUAUUAUUUUUUUUUUUAGAAAAGGUCUCACUCUGUCACCCAGGCUGGAG